Molecule: ribosomal RNA, 371 nt
Filed under: Cumopsis fagei
Lineage: Eukaryota; Metazoa; Arthropoda; Malacostraca; Cumacea; Bodotriidae
Description: 16S ribosomal RNA
Source: RNAcentral
CGUACUAAGGUAGCAUAAUCCUUCGUUAUUAAUUUUAAACGUAGAAUGAAAGGUAUGACGUAGUGGACUCUUUAACUUUCUAUAAGAAUAAUUUUCUUUAAGGUAAAAAUGCCUUAAUUAAGGGAAGGACGAUAAGACCCUAAAAAUUUAACUUCCUUUUUUUGCCCUAUGAAUUAGUAAAAGAAGUUUAGCCUGGGACGGCUUUUUAGAAUAAACUAAUAGAAAUAAAACAAAUAUCUUGAAAUUAAUGACCCCUGAGGCCCAUCUGAUCAAAUUACUUUAGGGAUAACAGCGUAAUUUAGUUUAAAGAACAAAUUAAAAAACUAAGAUUGCGACCUCGAUGUUGAAUUAAGGCCCCUUAUCUAGCGCAG